This 416-nucleotide ribosomal RNA is filed under the name uncultured bacterium. Its description in RNAcentral is "bacterial SSU rRNA". It matches the Rfam family "Bacterial small subunit ribosomal RNA", at positions 502 to 919 of the family's 1533-position model. The record is from RNAcentral.
UACGUGCCAGCAGCCGCGGUAAUACGUAGGGUGCAAGCGUUAAUCGGAAUUACUGGGCGUAAAGGGUGCGCAGGCGGUUCUGUAAGUCAGAUGUGAAAUCCCCGGGCUUAACCUGGGAACUGCGUUUGAAACUGCAGGGCUAGAGUGCGGCAGAGGGAGGUGAAUUCCAUGUGUAGCAGUGAAAUGCGUAGAGAUAUGGAAGAACAUCGAUGGCGAAGGCAACCUCCUGGGCUAGCACUGACGCUCAUGCACGAAAGCGUGGGGAGCAAACAGGAUUAGAUACCCUGGUAGUCCACGCCCUAAACUAUGUCAACUAGUUGUCGGGUCUUAUUAGACUUGGUAACGUAGCUAACGCGUGAAGUUGACCGCCUGGGGAGUACGGUCGCAAGAUUAAAACUCAAAGGAAUUGACGGGGG